UGCAUAGGAAUGAUUGAAUUGUGCUUUCUUUCAACAUAAAUAGGGCAUUGCAUCUUUGUCUGGUUAAUUCCGUUAACGAAUGAGAUCUCAGCCUGCUAACUAGCUAUGUGAAGGUGAGCCUCCACAGCCAGCUUCUUAGAGGGAUUAUGGCCGCUUAGGCCAAGGAAGUUUGAGGCAAUAACAAGUUUGUGAUG
This 194-nucleotide non-coding RNA is filed under the name Vitis vinifera (wine grape). RNAcentral describes it as "Eukaryotic small subunit ribosomal RNA". It matches the Rfam family "Eukaryotic small subunit ribosomal RNA", at positions 1281 to 1469 of the family's 1831-position model. Lineage: Eukaryota; Viridiplantae; Streptophyta; Magnoliopsida; Vitales; Vitaceae. The record is from Rfam by way of RNAcentral.